GAUACUGAAAGUGAAGUGUGUGGAGCCAAACAAUCUGAAAGGAGAGGAAAGAACGGAGUGGGGCGAGACUCAAAGUGGGCAAGCUCACUGGCAGCUAUGGCAAUGACCCAAAAGUGAGGUGGAUACAAUGUCAGAAGAGAGGUGGAUGGAUGAGACACAUAUGAGCUGUGUUUCGAAAGUUCAUUUUACAGAUGAGGAAACUGAGGCAAAGAGGUUGAAGUGUCUGGAGGUUGGAUUUAAACUCAAGAAGAUGAGUUUUCUUGACUGUCCACUAUGCCACCUGGUUGUCCACAGCAUUGAUACUUUGUCAAAAUAGCCUACCAUCUCUUAAGAAGUCAAUAUACUGAAGCUGUCUCAACAAUGAACAAACCCACAAGAGUAUUGUAACCACUAUGCUAGGACAACCCAAGUGAUAGCCUGAAUUUCAUUAUGUACAGGUGAUUUUUUGCAACCUUUAGGAGGGACCUUUCCAUGUUAUUGUACCAAGUCAACUAACAUCCUGGCCUCAUCUGACCCUGCACACUCUUUACUGAAAUGUUACUCCCAUUUUCAUUUGCCUGCACUCACCUCCUUCUUUAAUUUCUCCUGACAUUUUGUACAUCAAAUUAGGGAGUUUCAUAAGAAGGAAGAGAGCACAGCACAUCGCCUUGGCAACAGAGGUCAAAAGAACUAACAAAUGGUAAACAUCAGAAAAGGAGGGUGCGCAGGCUACAAAACAACUGGUGCCAGAAAUUCUCAAAGGUCAUGCGUAUGGUGAAGUUUCAAGCCACCCCCAAAGCCUGGACACCCUUUCUACUUACUGUGAAGAGACAAAGGAAAAAAAAUACACCCAGAACACAGAUGAUGAAGAAAGAAACAAAAACACAAAAAUAUAUAUGGAGGGAAGGAGAAAAGGAGAAGGAAAGAGAAGUGAAAAAGAGAGAAGAAUCGGAAGAGGAGGAAGAAGAGGAGGAAGAAGAAGAUGAAGA
Antechinus flavipes (yellow-footed antechinus) is the source of this 968-nucleotide long non-coding RNA. RefSeq lists it as uncharacterized. The transcript is spliced from 2 exons. The record is from RefSeq and is a predicted model, not a curated record. NCBI's taxonomy places the organism in Eukaryota, Metazoa, Chordata, Mammalia, Dasyuromorphia, Dasyuridae.